UACGUAGGGGCCUAGCGUUGUCCGGAAUUAUUGGGCGUAAAGAGCUCGUAGGCGGCUCAUUGCGUCAACCGUGAAAACCAGCAGCUCAACUGUUGGCUUGCGGUUGAUACGGGUGGGCUGGAGUUCGGUAGGGGAGACUGGAAUUCCUGGUGUAGCGGUGAAAUGCGCAGAUAUCAGGAGGAACACCGGUGGCGAAGGCGGGUCUCUGGGCCGAUACUGACGCUGAGGAGCGAAAGCGUGGGGAGCGAACAGG
RNAcentral lists this ribosomal RNA (253 nucleotides) under uncultured bacterium. RNAcentral describes it as "partial 16S ribosomal RNA". It matches the Rfam family "Bacterial small subunit ribosomal RNA", at positions 524 to 776 of the family's 1533-position model. The record is from RNAcentral.